This 489-nucleotide ribosomal RNA is filed under the name uncultured bacterium. Its description in RNAcentral is "bacterial SSU rRNA". It matches the Rfam family "Bacterial small subunit ribosomal RNA", at positions 15 to 518 of the family's 1533-position model. The record is from RNAcentral.
GAUCAUGGCUCAGAACGAACGCUGGUGGCGUGUCUUAUACAUGCAAGCGAGCGAGGCAGCAAUGCCGAGCGGCGAACGGGUGAGUAACGCGUAAGCAAUCUGCCCCAUAUCAGGAAAUACCCGUGCCAACGCGCGGUUAAUGUCCAGGAGAGUGGCCCCCUGCAUGGGGGGUUGACUAGAGAUUUAUCGGUAUGGGAUGAGCUUGCGUCCGAUUAGCUAGUUGGCGGGGCAACGGCCCACCAAGGCGACGAUCGGUAGCCGGCCUGAGAGGGUGAUCGGCCACAUUGGGACUGAGAUACGGCCCAGACUCCUACGGGAGGCAGCAGUAGGGAAUAUUGCACAAUGGGGGAAACCCUGAUGCAGCAACGCCACGUGUGGGAAGAAGCAUUUCGGUGUGUAAACCACUGUCAUGAGGGAAUAAGGCCACCUUCGGACGGACUUGAAUGUACCUUGAGAGGAAGCACCGGCAAACUUCGUGCCAGCCGCCGC